CCUACGGGAGGCAGCAGUAGGGAAUUUUGCGCAAUGGGCGGAAGCCUGACGCAGCAACGCCGCGUGUGCGAUGAAGCCCUUCGGGGUGUAAAGCACUGUCAGUAGGGACGAAUUUUGACGGUACCUACAGAGGAAGCACCGGCUAACUCCGUGCCAGCAGCCGCGGUAAU
Molecule: ribosomal RNA, 170 nt
Filed under: uncultured bacterium
Lineage: Bacteria
Description: partial 16S ribosomal RNA
Rfam family: Bacterial small subunit ribosomal RNA
Source: RNAcentral